This 443-nucleotide non-coding RNA is filed under the name Diaporthe ampelina. RNAcentral's name for it is "Bacterial large subunit ribosomal RNA". It matches the Rfam family "Bacterial large subunit ribosomal RNA", at positions 1261 to 1811 of the family's 2925-position model. The record is from Rfam by way of RNAcentral. Lineage: Eukaryota; Fungi; Ascomycota; Sordariomycetes; Diaporthales; Diaporthaceae.
AAAUUUUUUAAAUUAGAUAACCCAAGUGAGAAUGCUGACAUGAGUAACGAAAAAGGGGAAUACCCUCGCCUUAAGCUUAUGGAAUUUCUUUAAAGUAACGGCCUCUAAGUUUACAGACCUGCCCUAAAGGAUUAAACGAUGAGAAAAUCUUUCCUUAUGUAAUAACCUUAGAAUUAGAGUACUAAGUGUUCUGGAAAAAAAAUAAGGGUAUUGCAUGGCUGGAAAUAAACUGAAAUAGAUGAUACAGUCUGCAAGUUCCAAAACCGUACCUAGAAACUACCACCAGUAAGCGAGUAGAGAAUACGAAGGCGUUUGAGCUAACAAUCAUUAAGGAACUCGGCAAAUUGACUCCGUAACUGAGGGAUAAGGAGUGCCAUUCUAACUGAUUAAUAUCAGGUUUAGAAGAGGAGGCACAGAAUGGUGUUGUACGACUGUUUAAUUAA